RNAcentral lists this ribosomal RNA (460 nucleotides) under uncultured bacterium. RNAcentral's name for it is "bacterial SSU rRNA". It matches the Rfam family "Bacterial small subunit ribosomal RNA", at positions 340 to 789 of the family's 1533-position model. The record is from RNAcentral.
UACGGAAGGCAGCAGUGGGGAAUAUUGCACAAUGGGCGAAAGCCUGAUGCAGCUAUGCCGCGUGUAUGAAGAAGGCCUUAGGGUUGUAAAGUACUUUCAUCGGGGAGGAAAAAACAAAACUAAUAAUUUUAUUUCUUGACGUUACUCGAAAAAGAAGCACCGGCUAACUCCGUGCCAGCAGCCGCGGUAAUACGGAGGGUGCUAGCGUUAAUCAGAAUUACUGGGCGUAAAGAGCACGUAGGUGGUUUUUUUAAGUCAGAUGUGAAAUCCCUGGGCUUAACCUAGGAACUGCAUUUUGAAACUGAAAUACUAGAGUAUCGUAGAGGGAGGUAGAAUUCUAGGUGUAGCGGUGAAAUGCGUAGAUAUCUGGAGGAAUACCUGUGGCGAAAGCGGCCUCCUAAACGAAUACUGACACUGAGGUGCGAAAGCGUGGGGAGCAAACGAGGGAUUAGAUACCCGU